AACGAACGCUGGCGGCAUGCCUAAUACAUGCAAGUCGAACGAGAUCUUCGGAUCUAGUGGCGCACGGGUGCGUAACGCGUGGGAAUCUGCCCUUGGGUUCGGAAUAACAGUUAGAAAUGACUGCUAAUACCGGAUGAUGACGUAAGUCCAAAGAUUUAUCGCCCAGGGAUGAGCCCGCGUAGGAUUAGCUAGUUGGUGAGGUAAAGGCUCACCAAGGCUACGAUCCUUAGCUGGUCUGAGAGGAUGAUCAGCCACACUGGGACUGAGACACGGCCCAGACUCCUACGGGAGGCAGCAGAAGGGAAUAUUGGACAAUGGGGGAAACCCUGAUCCAGCAAUGCCGCGUGAGCGAUGAAGGCCUUAGGGUUGUAAAGCUCUUUUACCCGGGAUGAUAAUGACAGUACCGGGAGAAUAAGCCCCGGCUAACUCCGUGCCAGCAGCCGCGGUAA
RNAcentral lists this ribosomal RNA (449 nucleotides) under uncultured bacterium. RNAcentral describes it as "partial 16S ribosomal RNA". It matches the Rfam family "Bacterial small subunit ribosomal RNA", at positions 29 to 523 of the family's 1533-position model. The record is from RNAcentral.